This 425-nucleotide ribosomal RNA is filed under the name uncultured bacterium. Its description in RNAcentral is "bacterial SSU rRNA". It matches the Rfam family "Bacterial small subunit ribosomal RNA", at positions 356 to 773 of the family's 1533-position model. The record is from RNAcentral.
GGGGAAUUUUGCGCAAUGGACGAAAGUCUGACGCAGCAACGCCGCGUGGGUGAUGAAGGUCUUCGGACUGUAAAACCCUGUCGUCAGGGACGAAGGUGGGGGCGUUAAUAGCGCUUUCAUUUGACGGUACCUGGAGAGGAAGCCCCGGCUAACUCUGUGCCAGCAGCCGCGGUAAUACAGAGGGGGCAAGCGUUAUUCGGAAUUAUUGGGCGUAAAGGGCGCGUAGGCGGUUUUUUAAGUCAGAUGUGUAAUCCCCGAGCUUAACUUGGGAACUGCAUCUGAGACUGGAAGGCUAGAGUACUGGAGAGGGUGGUGGAAUUCCUCGUGUAGCGGUGAAAUGCGUAGAGAUGAGGAGGAACACCAGUGGCGAAGGCGGCCACCUGGACAGUAACUGACGCUGAGGCGCGAAAGUGUGGGUAGCAAAC